AUGUGUCAGUGUGUCUGUGUGUGUAUGUCAGUGUGUCUGUGUGUGUAUGUCAGUAUGUCUGUCAUAGACACACACAGACAUACUGACAUACAUACACAAACAGA
Molecule: non-coding RNA, 104 nt
Organism: Pelobates cultripes (western spadefoot toad)
Lineage: Eukaryota; Metazoa; Chordata; Amphibia; Anura; Pelobatidae
Source: the annotation of a GenBank genome assembly